RNAcentral lists this long non-coding RNA (292 nucleotides) under Trifolium pratense (red clover). Its description in RNAcentral is "long non-coding RNA (TPRA_LNC011086)". Lineage: Eukaryota; Viridiplantae; Streptophyta; Magnoliopsida; Fabales; Fabaceae. The record is from RNAcentral.
UCCAAUACUUGCUUCCAUUUCUUAUAAUUUAAGAUAUUCAACACUUCAAUGGAAAAAAUAAUUAUGCGUGGAGAAAUUCAUUUCUGAAUCAAAACCAGAAUGCAUUAGUAUUAUCAUAAGAGGUCAAUAUAAUGGUACAAUCACCUUUGGGCAGAAUGCACUCACUAAGGAUAAAACCCUAGUCAAAACCUCAGAUGAGUUAAUCAAUGAGUAUACAUUGAGCUUUGAAAGUUGUCACCUUUGGGCUGUCAAAUUCCUCCGUUCAACGCAUUCUCCAAUAACUUCAUCUCAA